This 484-nucleotide long non-coding RNA is filed under the name Equus caballus (horse). RNAcentral describes it as "lncRNA (ENSECAG00000046917.1)". The record is from RNAcentral. Lineage: Eukaryota; Metazoa; Chordata; Mammalia; Perissodactyla; Equidae.
CUCCAGAGGAGAUGCUGACUCUCUGCUUAUCUAGCUUCUGUCUGUCCUUUGAGAUCUGCCAGUAACUCAGCAUACAAAGAGACACAGAAUCAGACAGAGAUGGGAGAGAUGGAAAAUAAGAAAUAUCCGAGAGCACUGUGAUUCCGGGUUCCAGUUCCGGAACCAGAGGCCUUUGUUCCUGGAGCACUUUGCCUGAUUCCUUGAAGUUACUUCCUGGUGAUAUGCACCAAUCCAUUUGCUUAGCACUUAGGCUACUGCAUACUGAGUAGAUGGUCAGAAACGGCUUGUUAACCAGCUUACUUACAAGAUCCUGCUGCGCACGGGGUGAAUACUUGGUAAAUAUUAUUGACUGCCUGCCUGACAGUUGAGGCUAAUUAUUCUUUGACAUCUCACGUUAAAGCCCCACCACAUCCUGUGAAACUACAACCUUGAUGUGAGGAUGUCCAUCUUCAGGCAUUCCACCACAUAACAAAAAACAACUAAA